UCAUAGCAGAAGUGGAGGUUUAAAUAACCUCUAUCCAGGCGAUCUAAUUCCUUUCACACGAAGACCUCUCUUCCUAAUAAUUGAUAGCGACAAAAGCGAUGCAUUCAAGGCAGGUUCUACAUGGGGCAGAAAGAGGAGAAAAAAGUGCUUUGUUUCUCUCUCCUCUGAGGCCAUCAUUCAAGAACCCAGGCACUGAUGUAACACAAACUGGAAGUCAGUUCACCUUGUUCUUGA
Molecule: long non-coding RNA, 234 nt
Organism: Capsicum annuum
Lineage: Eukaryota; Viridiplantae; Streptophyta; Magnoliopsida; Solanales; Solanaceae
Exons: 3
Source: RefSeq, a predicted model, not a curated record